RNAcentral lists this ribosomal RNA (700 nucleotides) under uncultured Glomerales. RNAcentral describes it as "LSU rRNA". It matches the Rfam family "Eukaryotic large subunit ribosomal RNA", at positions 38 to 633 of the family's 3401-position model. The record is from RNAcentral. Lineage: Eukaryota; Fungi; Glomeromycota; Glomeromycetes; Glomerales; Glomeraceae.
GCAUAUCAAUAAGCGGAGGAAAAGAAACUAACAAGGAUUCCCUUAGUAACGGCGAGUGAAGAGGGAAGAGCUCAAAUUUUAAAUCUAUCAUGUUGUACAUGAUCGAGUUGUAAUUUGAAGAAGCGUUUUCUCGUACUUUAUGAUCAGUAUAAGUUCUCUUGGAACAGGACAUCAUAGAGGGUGAUAAUCCCGUCUGUUACUGAUUGUGAGGUUCGUUUAUGAUACGCUUUCAAAGAGUCGAGUUGUUUGGGAUUGCAGCUCCAAAUGGGUGGUAAACAUCACCUAAGGCUAAAUAUUUGCGAGAGACCGAUAGCGAACAAGUACCGUGAGGGAAAGAUGAAAAGAACUUUGAAAAGAGAGUUAAAAAGUAUGUGAAAUUGUUGAAAGGGAAACGAUUGAAGUCAGUCGUGCAGUCAUCAAUUCAGCGGUUAACAUUUUUAUGUUUCCGUGUAAUUUGGUGUCUGUUGGUUAGCAUCAAUUUUGAUUGUCAUAAAAAGGUUAAGGGGAUGUGGCUCCUUCGGGAGUGUUAUAACCCUUAGCGUAAUGUGACGAUUAGGAUUGAGGAUUGCAACGAAUACCUUUUAGGGCAGUUUCACCUGGCCUCUCGUGGAAUUAUAGAUAGUUAAGAGCAUGCUCUUACUGUCUAUGAUUCUACGAAAAGGUUGGAGUGUAAAACUAAUUCGUUAAGGAUGUUGACGUA